CUGCCUGGCUCCCUGGGCUCUGGUGGAACACAGCUGCCCUUCCUAAUUUGGUCUUAAUCAGGCUGAGCUAAGCCAGUCUGUAUUUGAGGAGUUGGAAGCAGGUGAUUCGGGCACAAAUUUGAAGGCUGAUAAACGGCAGCCGUCACCCGUGCACUCAGAGCGGCCAGAAGUCCUGCUCCUGGGGAAGGAGGAAGGGCGCAAGGGCAAUGAGCAUGUCGCCUUGCCCUCGGGGUGUGCGGUUUCUGCUCAGCCUCCUCUUGCAGCCUUGUUUCAAGUGUGGGAAUGGCCUCCUGACUCCCAAUCCGAAACAACUGCUGAGCACAGAAGGCAGAGCAGGGCCCUGAGAGUCAGAGGAAAAUGCUGCUGCGGGGACUGGGGAGCCCCAUCGGGUGACUCCCCAGAGAUGUGAGCAGGUGCAGAGGCUGGAACAACAGUGCUGCAGGAAAGUCUCUCCCGUGGAUGCUGUGGCCUGGGGCUUGGGUGACGACGUGCACGGCUGCCUCCUCGCUGUCACGUGCUCUGCUGGCUCGUCUCCAAGCUGUGCUGCUCAUGUUCCAAAGUCUCCCUGGAGGCUUUAGUGAAAAGCCCUUUCCCCGGUGACCUGGAGUGUCUUGCUAGAUGGAGCUGGCCAAGCCUGACGUCUUUUCCUGGCCGAUGCCUCAGUCCUUAUGCAAGCUGAGCUAUCUGAUGGCAGGUCCUGAGAUCAGCGUCUGGGGCCAGUUCCCAGGGAUAGGCUAUCCCAGCAGGACCGCAGCACCUGCUGAUGCCCCUGCAGCUGCCAGAUCCUGGGAGGUGGCAUCACUGUGCCUGCCAUUAAGGUGGACGUGAGGCAGGACUUCAUCCUGGAGCUGGAAGAAGCCUCAGGGUCAUCAGUCCUCAGAGUGGCAUCAGGCCCACCCUCACCGCACAGGUGGGGCCUCAGGCCUGGGAGCGUGACCGACUGGCCCCCAGUCUUUCCACCAGCCAGGAGUAAGGUCGGGACUAGACUCCUGACUCGCUGACCACCAUACCUACAGCCAUUCCCUCACUCUCCUUCAAUGACCUCAAGUGGGGGCAAAAGAGCGGCUGCCAUGACCUCAAGGACUCUCAGAUGCAUGGCAAACGGCAGGUCUGACCGUGCCGGAAAGGGUCCAGGGGAAGGCUGCUGCCUCCAUCCUCGGGCCAGGACAUGAAGGGGCAUCAACGUCAGGGCAGAAAACAGGAGCAAUGGGAGGUCCUGAGUGAAUCCUGCAACAGAGAAACUCUUGCCUGCACCCUCUCCUCUGUCCCCCCUCCACCGCCCCAUCUCAAUGCCACAGGCUGAACCGGAGACCUGUCUUGAUGCCAGAGGGGGCCAGCAAUUGCCCAAAGAAUGCGGAGCUCCCCCUGGUUUGUUGCUGGGGGCCCUUAAUCCCAGUGCUGUGCUGGAGCUGGCUUGUAACAUUCAAUAGAACCAAGCGUUAAAUGUGCUCAGAUUUUGUGAGCCAGUUGUAAAUAUAGGCAUUAUUCACAAUUAAUCAUAUGAACUUAUAAUCAAAUAUGUUAACAAACACCCCUUCCCAAUGAGUUUUACUACUUUUGCUAUUUUCUAUGCUUUGAGGGUUACUUGCAUCUAUUAUAUCAAUGCCGUGGGAAGAGUAUAUAGUGACAGCUACUGGGCAUCUCUUCCCAAGCCCACAAUCUGUGACGUCACAUUGAAAGCUUGGGAUUGGCCAUGAUAGGAGUAUUUACACCAUGGAAGUUGGCAAACACUGCAAAUCAGAGCUUGUGUUAUUGUUUUGUUGAUUUUCUAGGCUUAAGAAAGUAAUAAAAAAUUGUUAAUAGUA
RNAcentral lists this long non-coding RNA (1805 nucleotides) under Homo sapiens (human). Its description in RNAcentral is "HSALNT0383887". Lineage: Eukaryota; Metazoa; Chordata; Mammalia; Primates; Hominidae. The record is from RNAcentral.